AACCAUCACCUCUGCAGAGGAACCGACUCAAACACGAGAAGAACCGACUCAAACACCUUAAGAACUGACUCAAACACCAGAAGAACCGACACAAACACGAGAAGAACCGACACAAACACCAGAAAAACCGACACAAACACCAGAAGAACCGACAAAAACACGAGAAGAACCGACUCAAAUACCAGAAGAACCAACUCAAACACCAGAAGAACCGACUCAAACACCAGAAGAACCGACUCAAACACAAGAAGAACCGACACAAACACCUUAAGAACCGACUCAAACACGAGAAGAACCGACUCAAACACCAGAAGAACCGACUCAAACACCAGAAGAACCGACACAAACACGAGAAGAACCGACAAAAACACGAGAAGAACCGACUCAAAUACCAGAAGAACCGACUCAAACACCAGAAGAACCGACUCAAACACGAGAAGAACCGACACAAACACGAGAAGAACCGACACAAACACCUUAAGAACCGACACAAACACGAGAAGAACCGACACAAACACGAGAAGAACCGACAAAAACACGAGAAGAACCGACUCAAAUACCAGAAGAACCGACUCAAACACCUUAAGAACCGACUCAAACACCUUAAGAACCGACUCAAACACCAGAAGAACCGACACAAACACCUUAAGAACCGACUCAAUCGCCAGAAGAACCGACACAAACACGAGAAGAACCGACUCAAACACCAGAAGAACCGACACAAACACCUUAAGAACCGACACAAACACCAGAAGAACCGACACAAACACCAGAAGAACCGACUCAAACACCAGAAGAACCGACACAAACACCAGAAGAACCGACUCAAACACCAGAAGAACCGACACAAACACCUUAAGAACCGACACAAACACCUUAAGAACCGACACAAACACCAGAAGAACCGACACAAACACCAGAAGAACCGACACAAACACCAGAAGAACCGACUCAAACACCAGAAGAACCGACACAAACACCUUAAGAACCGACUCAAUCACCAGAAGAACCGACACAAACACGAGAAGAACCGACAAAAACACGAGAAGAACCGACUCAAAUACCAGAAGAACCGACUCAAACACCAGAAGAACCGACUCAAACACCUUAAGAACCGACUCAAUCACCAGAAGAACCGACACAAACACGAGAAGAACCGACACAAACACCAGAAGAACCGACAAAAACACGAAGAACCGACUCAAACACCAGAAGAACCGACUCAAACACCUUAAGAACCGACUCAAACACGAGAAGAACCGACUCAAACACCAGAAGAACCGACUCAAACACCUUAAGAACCGACUCAAACACCUUAAGAACCGACUCAAACACCAGAAGAACCAACUCAAACACCAGAAGAACCGACUCAAACACCAGAAGAACCGACUCAAACACAAGAAGAACCGACACAAACACCUUAAGAACCGACUCAAACACGAGAAGAACCGACUCAAACACCAGAAGAACCGACUCAAACACCAGAAGAACCGACACAAACACGAGAAGAACCGACAAAAACACGAGAAGAACCGAGUCAAACACCAGAAGAACCGACUCAAACACCAGAAGAACCGACAAAAACACGAGAAGAACCGACUCAAAUACCAGAAGAACCGACUCAAACACCAGAAGAACCGACUCAAACACGAGAAGAACCGACACAAACACGAGAAGAACCGACACAAACACGAGAAGAACCGACAAAAACACGAGAAGAACCGACUCAAAUACCAGAAGAACCGACUCAAACACCUUAAGAACCGACUCAAUCGCCAGAAGAACCGACACAAACACGAGAAGAACCGACUCAAACACCAGAAGAACCGACACAAACACCUUAAGAACCGACUCAAUCGCCAGAAGAACCGACACAAACACGAGAAGAACCGACUCAAACACCAGAAGAACCGACACAAACACCUUAAGAACCGACACAAACACCAGAAGAACCGACACAAACACCAGAAGAACCGACUCAAACACCAGAAGAACCGACACAAACACCAGAAGAACCGACUCAAACACCAGAAGAACCGACACAAACACGAGAAGAACCGACACAAACACCUUAAGAACCGACACAAACACCAGAAGAACCGACACAAACACCAGAAGAACCGACUCAAACACCAGAAGAACCGACACAAACACCUUAAGAACCGACACAAACACCAGAAGAACCGACACAAACACCAGAAGAACCGACUCAAACACCAGAAGAACCGACACAAACACCUUAAGAACCGACUCAAUCACCAGAAGAACCGACACAAACACGAGAAGAACCGACAAAAACACGAGAAGAACCGACUCAAAUACCAGAAGAACCGACUCAAACACCAGAAGAACCGACUCAAACACCUUAAGAACCGACUCAAUCACCAGAAGAACCGACACAAACACGAGAAGAACCGACACAAACACGAGAAGAACCGACAAAAACACGAAAAGAACCGACUCAAACACCAGAAGAACCGACUCAAACACCUUAAGAACCGACUCAAACACCUUAAGAACCGACUCAAACACCAGAAGAACCGACUCAAACACCAGAAGAACCGACUCAAACACCAGAAGAACCGACACAAACACCUUAAGAACCAACUCAAACACCAGAAGAACCGACUCAAACACGAGAAGGACCGACACAAACACGAGAAGAACCGACAAAAACACGAGAAGAACCGACUCAAAUACCAGAAGAACCGACUCAAACACCAGAAGAACCGACUCAAACACCAGAAGAACCGACUCAAACAUGAGAAGAACCGACUCAAAUACCAGAAGAACCGACUCAAAUACCAGAAGAACCGACUCAAAUACCAGAAGAACCGACUCAAACACCAGAAGAACCGACUCAAACACCUUAAGAACCGACUCAAACACCAGAAGAACCGACUCAAACACCAGAAGAACCGACACAAACACCUUAAGAACCGACUCAAACACCAGAAGAACCGACACAAACACCAGAAGAACCGACACAAACACCAGAAGAACCGACUCAAACACCAGAAGAACCGACACAAACACUUUAAGAACCGACACAAACACCAGAAGAACCGACACAAACACCAGAAGAACCGACUCAAACACCAGAAGAACCGACACAAACACCUUAAGAACCGACUCAAUCACCAGAAGAACCGACACAAACACGAGAAGAACCGACAAAAACACGAGAGGAACCGACUCAAAUACCAGAAGAACCGACUCAAACACCAGAAGAACCGACUCAAAUACUAG
Molecule: long non-coding RNA, 3249 nt
Organism: Oryzias javanicus (javanese ricefish)
Lineage: Eukaryota; Metazoa; Chordata; Actinopteri; Beloniformes; Adrianichthyidae
Source: Ensembl